AGUUUUUCGGAUUCACCCAAAAACUUGGAUGUUAAACUAGAAGCUGAAAUAGAAAAAAAGACAGAACGGGAUUCAGUAGCAACAGCUCGCGCAAGCAUUGUCUUACCAGUUCCUGGAGGCCCAAAAAGAAGCAUCCCCCUAGCUGGUUCCCGCAAGCCUUGGAACAAAUCUGGACGCAAGAACGGAUACACCACUGCCUCUUUUAAAGAGUGCUUAGCAAAUUCUAACCCAGAAAUAUCAUCCCAAUGAACUUCAUCACCCGAAACCACGAUUUCUCGAAGUAUACUCUUACCAAGCUCUUCGUCGAUGUCUGGACAUUCACGCAGAAUUUGUUCUUGCUUUUCAGAAG
Schizosaccharomyces pombe (fission yeast) is the source of this 349-nucleotide non-coding RNA. NCBI's taxonomy places the organism in Eukaryota, Fungi, Ascomycota, Schizosaccharomycetes, Schizosaccharomycetales, Schizosaccharomycetaceae. The record is from the annotation of a GenBank genome assembly.